GUCCGUUUGAGCUGUUUCCUUGCGAUUUAAGAUGGCUGCAGCAGCUUGAAGGAUGCCCUGAUGCGACAGAAAAGUUAGAGAGCGGAAAACGGUUUUCUCCUCACAUUCUUGUUUCUUUCAUCAGGGAAGACACUCCUUCCCGGAAAUCUCCAGCAACUUUCAAGUGUGCUUAGCCACAAGGGAUGAUGGGAAAUGAGUCUAUGGCAUUUCAAGCCUCCAUCGUGGAAGCAGGCUCCGCCCAUAGGACGCAGGGGAUAAAACUGGCUGUGGGUAGACAACUGAACAGUAUCUACUCCACAGAACCACACAGCAGCCGUAAUCUAGUUUAAGGAGCACUAGGCCAGCCUCCGAAGACCCAAAUUUCAUUUUGUCUCUGCCAGUAACUCACUGUGUGAACUCAGGUCCUAUGAAUUCCCUCCAUGGUGAUCCACCUGUACUCAGUAACCCACAUGUAUCUAAGUGUGGGAGAGAUAAAUGGCAAGCCCUCAGUGAGACAGGAAGCCAACAGCUUUGAUCCCACUUGUUUAAGGCUGGGAAAUGGAGUUACCUUAGACCAACAGAUGGAAGCCAUGUGUUAAGGAUGGCAGAGAUAAGCCACCAGCUUGGGUUGUAGGAUGCAUUUGCAGAUCAGACCUACUUACUCAUCCUGGACCACGGCCUAUCACUGGUCUGUUAG
RNAcentral lists this long non-coding RNA (676 nucleotides) under Equus caballus (horse). RNAcentral describes it as "lncRNA (ENSECAG00000053794.1)". The record is from RNAcentral. Lineage: Eukaryota; Metazoa; Chordata; Mammalia; Perissodactyla; Equidae.